UGAAAAUCGACGCGGAGCACUGUAUUUAAAUUACGACACUGCUUUGGAGCGAUUUGAUGAAGCACAAGUCUACACAUAACCUCAAAUUAUAGUUUUUAAACAUAUUUACACUACAUAACAACAGCGCAAAAAUCAGAAGUGUUUAGUGGGAUAUUUCUAUUUGUGUUUAAGUGUCAUAAAACCGAUUAAAUGAUUCAAAAUUAUCGCGACUACAUAACCUCAAAAAAGUGGUAUUGCGUAUAAUUUAGUUUUAACGUAUACAAAGCAAGCGAAAAAAUUUGAAAAUUCACCGUUGGAACUGUAUCUACAACUCUUUGAGCCAGAAACUUCCUCAAAGCAUUCGAAGUUUAAAGCUGGUGGGUCUGCAUAACCUCAAAAACCCGCAUUUGUGUACGAAGACAUGCAUUUGCGGACCUGUAUCGAAUAAAACAUUCGUGUUCAAAAUUUUCGAUGCUACAUAACCUCAAAGACUAUUCUAUGAGUUGAAAGAUUGUAGUUAUAACAUAACCUCAACGAACAGGUUGUAUAAAUAUCUGCCUGAGGACUGUGGAAAAGUGUUUUAUGCAGUGUUCUUCACCCGUAUUACAGCAAAUAUUUGAGAUAUAUGCAUGAAAAUUAAUUAUAAGUGAAAUUAUUGUGUAUAAGUUCAGUCUAUGGUCGCGAAAUGGUUUAAGAUCGCUAAACUCAUCGAACCCAGUGAAGUCAUAUUAUUAUUAAUGGGUAUAUUUAAACAAAGUAUAUUUAAAAAAUCACAAAUACUACAAAAACAACCUAAUUAAGACUUAAGACUUGAAAUCACAUCUCAUCUAAAUUAACUUAAAAUAAGCCAUCACACCACUUAAAAAUCACUAAGCCAACACCAAAACUUGUAUAAAGUGUUUGGCGCAGUCAAAACGGGAGCUUUUUAAAGACUCCCUGCUGCCGCUAGUAGCCGCGCUUGCAAUUGUAAAGCUACAAGCACACGCAUAAGCUGUUUCUCUAUCAACUCAUUCAUUUUAUCAUUUUGCAAAAUCAUCAAUCAAGUUUUCUAACAGCUCUGGUGCUGGGGAUUGCAGCUUUACCAGCAAACACAAGCCAGAGUUGCAGAGUAAACAAAGUUUGCGGUCUUUUUGCGGUCGCUGCUUAAACUUUUUAAACUUGGUGUUAAACUAUUGCCAACAAGCGUGCAAUAGUCGGCACAUUGUCCAUAUUUCCGACAUCCUUAGUGCGGGCAUGUUGGAAAUGAGUUGAAUAUAGAGAAAUAGUGGCCAGCGCUAUAUGGAGUUGCAGUAAUGUGGUUAUGUGAGAUCAACAAUAAUACAGGAUGUGUGCAAUUUUUAAACUACGAAUUCUACGACAAUUUUAUUGCAAGGCAUCGAUUGCAACGCGUUAUUGUUGCGCGCUGCAACGCGCCGUGGCUUGCAGUGCGCGCGGAAAGCGCGUUGUGCUGUAAACUUGUCGCGCGCAUGCUGUGCGGUCUUACAACAACAACAAGCGCUCAAUAUAUAUUGCAACAACAACAAAAAUAUAUGUCAUAUAUAACAACAAUAACAUUACAAGUCAUAAGCAACAGCAACAACGGCGCGCGUUCUUGCCGCCGCCAAAUCUCAUAUUUAUGCGCGGACUACCUACUUAGUCGCCGAUAUUACAGCAAAACGUUCCACAAGUUCAAUUCAAUACCCCAUCUAAAUGGUUCACAGAUAAAAAUUAAUCUGCUUUUUUAGCCCUUCAAGCAUGGCAAAAAUUGUUAACAUUUAGCCAUUUGACGUUUGAAACUGCCAAUUUGAACUUCAUAUUUGCCUCAAGCUGCGUAUUGUUUGAAAAAUCAACAAUCAAGCCUAUAAAACUAGCGUCAAGCAUGCAUUGUAAAAAGUUAAAUACGUGUAUACAGCAAUUUUAAUGCCAUAUCAGCAAUUUGCAACUGAUUUUAAAGCGCACCGCACCAGCAGCGAAGUUCAAGGAAAUUGCAAAUGAAAGAGAAAUGAAUAAUAAAGUAGUGACGCUUGGGCAAGUGGCAUCCAGUAGCGAAGCAAUUUGUUGUAAUUCACACGGUAUUGAAGUGUGUUAAAGGUAAGUUAUUUAUAGAUUUCUACGCGUAUAAGAUGUCAGUAUUUAUAACACGAAAUUUUAAUUUACAUACCAUAAUUUUUUCAUAUAUUUGAGUACCAAUAUUUUUAUUAGUUUAAGAGCUAUCGCGCUGAAAUUCGAUUUUGUCG
Zeugodacus cucurbitae (melon fly) is the source of this 2195-nucleotide RNA transcript. RefSeq lists it as uncharacterized. The transcript has 7 exons. The record is from RefSeq and is a predicted model, not a curated record. NCBI's taxonomy places the organism in Eukaryota, Metazoa, Arthropoda, Insecta, Diptera, Tephritidae.